CCCAAGUAGAUUCAGAAACAACAAUAGACUUCUAUUACUAUAUACUGGCAAUAAUAACCACACAGCUAACAUAUUACUUACUAUGUUUGUGUCCCAAAUAGAACCCUAUUCUCUACAUAGUGCACCCUAUGGGCCCUGGUCAAAAGAAGUGCUCUAUAUAGGGAAUAGGGUGUCAUUUGAGACACAUUCUAUAUAUAUAUAUUUCCAUAUACGGGGCAAUUUUUAUGCUGCUAUAAUGACUUGGCUGGUGAAAGCCUGCAUGGCUAACUGAUGACUUACUUCUACAAUAUUUAUAGGUAUAGUUUUACUUCUCAUUUCCCAUUUUUUGGCAAUUUCAAGCAUCGUUUACCCACCGACCAACUGCACUAACCAUUACAGCAUUUAUAUAUUUCUUUCCAGAGAUGGCAUGUUGGAAGAGGUUAUAGGAGUGUGUGUGUGUGUGUGUGCCUGCUCCCAUGUGUGCUGUUUGUGUGUGUGUGCCUGUUUGUGUGUGUCUGCUCCCAUGUUUGCGUGUGCGCGUGUGCCUGCUCCCAUGUGUGCCUGUUUGCGGUGUGUCUGCUCCCAUGUGUGCCUCUGCCUGUUCCUGCUUGUGCUCCCAUGUGUGCAAGUGAGUGAGUGACAGAAUUUGUCGUAUUUACAUUUUUUUUUUUACAGACACACUUAUCCAGAGUGACAUAAAGGAGCUAUUACGGUUAAGUGCCAUGCUCAUGGGCACAUCGCCAGAUUUUUCACCUAGUCGGCUCGGGGAUUCGAACCAGCGGACCUUUCCGUUACUGGCCUAACGCUCUUAACCCCUAGGCUAUCUGCCUCCCCCCAGUGUUCCGUACUCCUCCAUGGUUACAGCAGGCAGGUUACUAGGGAGAGGGUCUGGUCAGCCCAACACUCAGGCCAGCACUCAGGCCAGCACUCAGGCCAGCACUCAGGUCAGCACUCAGGCCAGCCCUCAGGCCAGCCCUCAGGCCAGCCCUCAGGCCAGCCCUCAGGUCAACACUAACCUACCAUUAACCCAACACUUGUUUUGGCUCUAUACUCCAGCACUUAGAAAUGGUGUUGUGUGUUCCUUUCAAACAACUCAACUGUAGUUUCAUCUGUCCACAGAAUAUUUGUCAGUAGCGCUGUGGAACAUCCAAGUGCUCUUUUGUAAACUUCAGACGUGCAGCAAUGUUUUUUUGGGGGACAGCAGUGGCUUCUUCUGUGGUGUCCUCCCAUGAACACCAUUCUUGUUUAGUGUUUUACGUAUCGUAGACUCGUCAACAGAGAUGUUAACAUGUUCCAGAGAUUUCUGUAAGUCUUUAGCUGACACUCUAGGAUUCUUCUUUACCUCAUUGAGCAUUCUGCGCUGGGCUCUUGCAAUCAUCUUUGCAGGACUGCCACUCCCAGGGAGAGUAGCAACAGUGCUGAACUUCCUCCAUUUAUAAGGCUUUUAGAGAUACUUUUGUAUCCCUUUCCAGCUUUAUGCAAGUCAACAAUUCUUAAUCUUGGGUCUUCUGAGAUCUCUUUUGUUCGAGGCAUGGUUCACAUCAGUCAAUGCUUCUUGUGAAUAGCAAACUCAAGUUUUGUGAGUGUUUUUUAAAGGGCAGGGCAGCUCUAACCAACAUCUCCAAUCUCAUCUCGUCUCAUUGGUUGGACUCCAGGUUAGCUGACUCCUGACUCCAAUUAGCUUUCGGAGAAGUCAUUAGCCUAGGGAUUCACAUACUUUUUCCAACCUACACUGUGAAUGUUUAAAUGAUGUAUUGAUAAAAGAAUGUAUAUGUUUAAAGAUAAUAAUUAAAUAAUUCUACCCUGAAACUUAACUAUUA
This 1799-nucleotide long non-coding RNA is filed under the name Salmo salar (Atlantic salmon). Its description in RNAcentral is "lncRNA (ENSSSAG00000109277.1)". Lineage: Eukaryota; Metazoa; Chordata; Actinopteri; Salmoniformes; Salmonidae. The record is from RNAcentral.